Molecule: ribosomal RNA, 990 nt
Filed under: uncultured bacterium
Lineage: Bacteria
Description: bacterial SSU rRNA
Rfam family: Archaeal small subunit ribosomal RNA
Source: RNAcentral
GUGCCAGCCGCCGCGGUAAAACUAGCAUCUCGAGUGGCAGUCACCAUUAUUGGGCUUAGAGCGUCCGUAGCUCGUCUGGAAAGUCUCUGGUGAAAUCCUGCGGCUUAACCGUAGGGCGCGCCGGAGAAACUACCAGGCUUGAAGGCAGGAGAGGCAGGGGGUACGUCUGGGGUAGGGGUGAAAUCCUAUAAUCCUAGACGGACCAACAGUGGCGAAGGCGCCCUGCAUGAAUGCGCUUGACAGUGAGGGACGAGAGCCAAGAGCGCGAAACGGAUUAGAUACCCGUGUAGUCUUGGCCGUAAACGAUGCUGACUAGGUGGGGUGUGACCUUAGAGGUCAUGCUAUGCCGAAGAGAAAUCGUUAAGUCAGCCGCCUGGGGAGUACGACCGCAAGGUUGAAACUUAAAGGAAUUGGCGGGGGAGCACUACAAGGGGUGGAAGCUGCGGUUUAAUUAGAUUCAACGCUGGACAUCUCACCGGAGGCGACAGCAGGAUGAAGGCCAGACUGAUGGUCUUGCCGAACACGCUGAGAGGAGGUGCAUGGCCGUCGUCAGCUCGUGCUGUAAAGUGUUAGGUUAAGUCCUAAAACGAGCGAGACCCUCAUGCUUAUUUGCAACCAGUCCUUCCGAGGGCUGAGCACAAUAAGCAGACUGCCUGCUAUAAGUAGGAGGAAGGAGUGGACAACGAUAGGUCCGCAUGCCCCAAAUCUUCCGGGCUACACGCGUCUUACAAUGGCCGGUACAAUGAGUCGCGACCCCGAAAGGGGGAGCCAAUCUCGAAAGCCGGUCUCGGUUCGGAUCGAGGGUUGCAACUCACCCUCGUGAAGCUGGAAUCCCUAGUAAUCGCUGCUCAUUAUACAGCGAUGAAUACGUCCCUGCUCCUUGCACACACUGUCCGUCACUCCAACUAAGCAGGUUCUAGAUGAGGCUAGGUCCCUUGAUUUGGUCAAAUCUGGGGUCUGUGAGGGGGGGGAAGUCGUAACAAGGUAACC